AGUGAACGCUGGCGGUAGGCCUAACACAUGCAAGUCGAACGGCAGCACAGUAAGAGCUUGCUCUUACGGGUGGCGAGUGGCGGACGGGUGAGGUAUACAUCGGAAUCUACUUUUUCGUGGGGGAUAACGUAGGGAAACUUACGCUAAUACCGCAUACGACCUACGGGUGAAAGCAGGGGAUCUUCGGACCUUGCGCGAUUGAAUGAGCCGAUGUCGGAUUAGCUAGUUGGCGGGGUAAAGGCCCACCAAGGCGACGAUCCGUAGCUGGUCUGAGAGGAUGAUCAGCCACACUGGAACUGAGACACGGUCCAGACUCCUACGGGAGGCAGCAGUGUGGAAUAUGGGACAAUGGGCGCAAGCCUGAUCCAGCCAGACCGCGUGGGUGAAGAAGGCCUUCGGGUUGUAAAGCCCUUUUGUUGGGAAAGAAAAGCAGCAGGUUAAUACCCCGCUGUUCUGACGGUACCCAAAGAAUAAGCACCGGCUAACUUCGUG
Molecule: ribosomal RNA, 492 nt
Filed under: uncultured bacterium
Lineage: Bacteria
Description: partial 16S ribosomal RNA
Rfam family: Bacterial small subunit ribosomal RNA
Source: RNAcentral